RNAcentral lists this ribosomal RNA (424 nucleotides) under uncultured bacterium. RNAcentral's name for it is "bacterial SSU rRNA". It matches the Rfam family "Bacterial small subunit ribosomal RNA", at positions 64 to 524 of the family's 1533-position model. The record is from RNAcentral.
GAGCGGUAAGGCUCCUUCGGAGAGUACACGAGCGGCGGACGGCUGAGUAACGCGUUGGAACGUACCCCAAACUGAGGGAUAAGCACCAGAAAUGGUGUCUAAUACCGCAUGUGAUCUUCGGAUUAAAGCUACGGCGGUUUGGGAACGGCCUGCGUAUGAUUAGCUAGUUGGUGAGGUAAUGGCUCACCAAGGCGACGAUCAUUAGCUGGUCUGAGAGGAUGAUCAGCCAGACUGGGACUGAGAACGGCCCAUACUCCUACGGGAGGCAGCAGUAGGGAAUUUUCCACAAUGGGCGAAAGCCUGAUGGAGCAACGCCGCGUGCAGGAUGAAUGCCUUCGGGUUGUAAACUGCUUUUAUCUGUGACGAUUUUGACGGUAGCAGAUGAAUAAGGAUCGGCUAACUCCGUGCCAGCAGCCGCGGUAAU